This is a non-coding RNA of Musa acuminata subsp. malaccensis (wild Malaysian banana), 122 nucleotides long. Lineage: Eukaryota; Viridiplantae; Streptophyta; Magnoliopsida; Zingiberales; Musaceae. The record is from Rfam.
GGAGGGAGGCGGGCGCAAGACGGGGACGAGGUAGAGCAUGGGAUGGGGUCAGAAACAGAGUCGUCGUGUUUCUGCCCUUUCCAUGCACUGCCUCUUCCCUGGCUCUCUUCCCCUCCCUUGCU